RNAcentral lists this ribosomal RNA (686 nucleotides) under uncultured Acidobacteriota bacterium. RNAcentral's name for it is "bacterial SSU rRNA". It matches the Rfam family "Bacterial small subunit ribosomal RNA", at positions 94 to 812 of the family's 1533-position model. The record is from RNAcentral. Lineage: Bacteria; Pseudomonadati; Acidobacteriota.
AGCGGCGUACGGGUGAGUAACACGUGGAAGAUCUGCCCUUUUGUGGGGAAUAACUCUGGGAAACCGGAGCUAAUACCGCAUAAGCCCUAGAGGGGAAAGCAGCAAUGCGCAGAAGGAGGAGUCCGCGGCCGAUUAGCUCGUUGGCGGGGUAAUGGCCCACCAAGGCAACGAUCGGUAGCCGGCCUGAGAGGGCACACGGCCACACUGGCACUGAGACACGGGCCAGACUCCUACGGGAGGCAGCAGUGGGGAAUCUUGCACAAUGGGGGAAACCCUGAUGCAGCGACGCCGCGUGAGUGAUGAAGCCCUUCGGGGUGUAAAGCUCUUUCGACGGGAACGAUAAUGACGGUACCCGGAGAAGAAGCUGCGGCUAACUACGUGCCAGCAGCCGCGGUAAUACGCAGGCAGCAAGCGUUGUUCGGAAUUAUUGGGCGUAAAGAGUAUGUAGGCGGUUGGCUAAGUUUGGUGUGAAAUCUCCUGGCUUAACUGGGAGGGUGCGCUAAAUACUGGCCGGCUUGAGUGUGGGAGAGGAGAGUGGAAUGCCUGGUGUAGCGGUGAAAUGCGUAGAUAUCAGGCGGAACGCCGGUGAUGUAGAUGGCUCUCUGGACCACAACUGACGCUGAGAUACGAAAGCGUGGGUAGCAAACAGGAUUAGAUACCCUGGUAGUCCACGCCCUAAACGAUGC